This 84-nucleotide transfer RNA is filed under the name Rattus norvegicus (Norway rat). It matches the Rfam family "tRNA". Rfam says of the family: Transfer RNA (tRNA) molecules are approximately 80 nucleotides in length. Their secondary structure includes four short double-helical elements and three loops (D, anti-codon, and T loops). The record is from Rfam by way of RNAcentral. Lineage: Eukaryota; Metazoa; Chordata; Mammalia; Rodentia; Muridae.
GGGGAUUUAGCUCAGUGGUAGAGCGCUUGCCUAGCAAGUGCAAGGCCCUGAAGUGCAAGGCCCUGGGUUCGGUCCCCAGCUCCG